Long non-coding RNA from Orcinus orca (killer whale), 13658 nucleotides. RefSeq lists it as uncharacterized. The transcript is spliced from 2 exons. NCBI's taxonomy places the organism in Eukaryota, Metazoa, Chordata, Mammalia, Artiodactyla, Delphinidae. The record is from RefSeq and is a predicted model, not a curated record.
AGGGGAGAAUUUCCCCUUGUCUGCCUUGUACAUAGGAUUUGGAGUCAGAUAAUAUAGGUUCAAGGCCCAUAUCACCUAAUUAGUUGCUGUGUUGUUUUCGCAGUUGACUUAAUCUCUUUGGCCUUGUGUUUUCAUCUGUCAAGGAGGAUUAAAAUAAUACCUGCCCUACCUAGCUCACAGAGGAGAGCUCCUCUCUCCAAGGACAGUGAGCCUCUUGGGCUGAGGCCCCCUCACACUCAUCUUUGGGCCUCCACAGCACUUGGUGGGCACUGGGCCAACACACCAACACUCAACAGAUCCUUCUCAUUCAAUUGCAUGAGAUUAAAUGAAAUGAGUCAAUAGGUUAGGGGAAAAACCCAAACACCUCGUUUUGGGGUCCAGAAUUGAUUGUUCCCAACAGCAUCCCUGGAGUGGGUUGUGAUCACAUUCACUUGUAACUUGUUUGCUAUUUGCUUUGUUUAGCAAAUUCCUUCACAGAGAGACAGGGAAGGAGCCUGGGAAGGCAGGGGAAGGGUGUGGGAAGAUGCUGGAAUCCGAGAGGGAGCUCAGACUGUUGGUUGAACAUAUUGCUGUCUGUGUGGAAAAUGUUCACAGCAGUUACAACUUUGGAUGAAUAUGCAUUAGCGGCCGUGCUGCAAUUUGCCGACGUGUGCCACGCUGCACUCAGAGAUUUGGCAAGGUGGGUAAUUAUCUCCACAUUAUGUGCCUUGUCUCUUUCUCUUCUUAAUUAAGUAACUAAUCUGGUGGAGGAGAGCUCUGUUUGUGUUUGUUUGGCAGGUGCAGCCUCGUGACAGUUGUCUGGAGAAGUUUCUUGGAAAUUUAUGAGACUUUUCAAAAAACAAACUGCUCGGAGCUGAGCCGACCUCCUGGAGGCUGGGAGGAUCAGAGUUGGGCUCUGCCGGAGCACAAGGCAGUGUGGCAGUCGCUGCUUCUCCUAGACAGCGGGCUUCCUGCUGCAAGGCCCAUCAGGGGCUCUGAGCUUCCAGGGUGGCAGGAAGCAGGGUGAUCCAAAGGGUGGGCACUCCCCGUAGAAAAGAGGGAGAGGUUAGAGGCCAGAAUUAGAACAUCAGUGUUCUCCCUUCUACCUUGUUUCCCUCUGGAUUUCUCUGUUUGAGCAGAUUUUCCCUCUCAGCUCUUCCAAGCUCUCUGUAAAGGAAUUGAUGAAACGAGCUAAGUGACAAUCAUUUAUUGAAGACUGACCACGUGGCUCACAGGCAAACCUGCUGACAUAAAGGUGCUUGGCUGGGUUGGAUGGGACCCAAGGUGAAACUCCUGGGUCCCUGGUAGAUGGUGCAGGCCAGUGACCCAGUAGGUGUUGGGUCCCAUAGUGCUGCAGCACGGUCACCAGCCAAGUGCACAGACCACCACUCUGAUGCCUCCUCCAGGCUGUCUGCAAAGCAGAGCAGGUUGCUCAGGAGGGCGGGGGAUAGAGCAUCUUCUUUUGAGGUUCCUAGUUGGUUGCAAGAGAGGGUUGGAAGGGGCCAGGCCACAAAUGGUAGGAAUUGCCACUGGCUGCACUGAAUUUUACAGGCACGCCUGAGUGGGUCACAGUGUGUCAAUAGUGAGGAGAUUCCACUGAACAACACAGGUGCGCAACCCAGACGCAGGGUGGGCUGCUCUUUUCAGAAGGCUGUGCUGGCCACUGGGCACUUGCUUUGACCCAUAAGCUCUGUUUUCUUAUUUGAGAUGAUGGGCUUGCCUUCUGUAUAUGUAUGUUUCCUCCCAAUACACAUACACACACAUGCACAUACACCCCAAUUCAGUGAAAUAAGCUGUUAGACACCCCUCAUGAGUGGCUCAUCCUAGGGGUCACUGUGGUAUUGUGGGGAUAGAAUUCAGAGGUGACCCCCUAGAUUACUGGACCCUACUGUACACAUAACCUCUCUCCAUCAACCUCUAAUCUUAGUACUGUUGUGAAGGGAUUUUUCAGAUGUAAUUAAGAUCCCUAAUCAGUUGACCUUAAAAUGGAGAUUAUUGGGUGGGGUUGACCUAAUCACACCGGCCCUUUAAAAGUAGAGAGUUUUCUCCAGCUGGUUGCAGAAGAGAAAGUCAGAGAUCUGAAGCAUGGGAAGGAUUCAACACACCAUUUAUGGCUUAAAAAUGGAGGAGCCACAUAGCAAAAACUUGGGGUGACAUUUAGAAGCUGAGAGCAGCCCUCCAGUGACAGCCAGCUAGAAAGCAGGGUCCUCAGUCCAACAACCACAAGGAACUGAAUUCUGCCAGCAGCAAGAAUGAGCUUGAAAGUAGACUUUUCCUCAACACCUCUAGAUGAGAACUCAGCCUGACCAAUACCUGAUUCUGGUUGUAUCAUACCUUGAGCAGAGAACCCGGCCAUGCUGUGCCAGACCUCUGACCUACAGAGCCCUGAGCUAAUAUAUGGGUGCUGUUGGAAGCUACUAUGUUUGUGCUAAUUUGUUAUGCAACAAUGGAAAACUGAUACAUGUGUUAAGCCUCCUACCUGGCGUAUAAGAAAAGCUGCACAGAGAGACUCUGCCAUUUCUUUUACAAUCUAGGCAGGUGGGGACUCAGACCUUAGUCCAGGUUUUGCCACUGGCUUGUUUAGUGAUGAUCUCAAGAAAAACAUAUACCCUCUCUGGGCCUCAAUUUCCUCUUCUGUAAAAGUUGGAAUGGGACUCCAUGCUUUUUAAGAUCCCUCAUAGAGUGCUCAUUCUGAUUGUGACUAUAGACACUGACAUAAAAGAAUGCAUGGGGGUGACCACCUGGGAGAUGUAGCUUCCUUUGUAUGAGAUUUCUGGCUUCAAGGUCAGAGCAAUCCUCCCAUGAGACGGUUUCUGUAUUGACAUAUUCUGCUCAAACACUGUUCAAGGAUCUCUAUUGUCUAUAGGAAAAAAGAAGACCCUCCUCUUUGCUAUUUAGGGUCUAGAUAACUUGGGCCCAACCUAACCUCUGACCCUAGGUCUCACUGCUCCUCUCUGCACUCCUGCACAUCCCCACAUACUGCAUACCACCAUUGGUACCUGCAUUCAUUUUUCUCUCCUCAAAUUUAUAUGUUCUCCAUCUCUGUUAACCAAAAACUUAAGCAAAUAGACUUCCAUUUUCCAAGGGUUAGCUCCAGACCUACCUUCUCCAGGUAAACUUCCUGGCAUUUCUAUAUAAGUAAUUUUCUCCUUUGAUGGUAAUGAUAAGAAACUCAUCUCAAAGUAGCUUGAGAAGAAAAAAUGGAAACUAGUGAUUCAUGUCACUGUGAAAUCUAAGGUUAACUUUAGACACAGAUGGAUCCAGGGGAACAAUUUGUGCCUUUGGAAUUUUGCCUCCAUCUAUCUCUUUUCUUUGUUUCUCUCUGUAAGUCAGGGCCCUUCCUCAUAUGGGGUAAAAAUGUAUGGCCCCCGGCAGCCCCAAACCUGGUUCUUUAUAGCUUGAAAUUUAAAAGCAAUAUGUAUCCAUUUCCCCUGCAGCAUCUUUAUAUUAAAGAUCAGAGAAGACUGAUUGGUCCUCUGUGGGUCAGUAUCCACCCUGAGCCAAUCACUGCAUUCAAGUUGAUAGACACUUCUCUGAUUGGUCAGGGGAGUAUCUGCCUAAGCCUUGGUUGGAGCAGGGGGGCUGUGACUGAUAACCUCACCCUGACCACAUGGACUGGGGGACGUGUAGUCCUUCAAGGAAAAUCAGGAUGACCAGAGGAACUGAGAAAGGGGAGUUGGUCAGAGAGAAACAAGAAAUGCCCAUCCUAUCCUUGCCUUAUUCUGUUCUGGACUCCCAGUAGCUUCCCAUCUUUCCACUUAUUUGGCCAUAAUCCCACUCUGCCCUGCAUAGGAGAUGUGUAUAUAGCUGAUCCGAUUACUCGCAGAGCAAUAUAUGUAUGCGGAUAAAGUAUAACCAGUUGGUUCUUUCCCUGUGCCUAACCAGAUUUCCCUCCCAAUCUUGAUGAGCAGUGGGGAAAAAAAAAAACUAAUUGUCUAACAUGAUUGAAGAUAGUUGGCUCUGAUCAUUUUAAAAGGUUCCAUUAGGAACAUUUUUACUUAUUUGAGUAAAAAUACUUAGCCACUGCACUUGCUAAGAUGGGGUCCAGGUGUAUAUAUAGACAGGGGCUUAUAACAUCUUUAUAAAUCUAUGUGCGUGUGAGGGAUGAGUCCAAGUCCCUGGGCAGAAUUUCUUCUGUGCUCCCUGCCUGGGAGCAUUCACUGCCAGAGCCUGUGGCAGUGGGAGAUCUUGGCUUGGCCUUGGCGGGGGGCUCAAGGACAUCCCUGGCUGACUCAGCCUCUCUUUAACUCUCACGGAUGCAGUCUUAAUGGGGGAGGCGGAGGGACAGCCAGAUCUGUGUCCAGACCGCUGGUCCUACAGUCUCCUCCUAGCCUUGCUGAUGGGCUCACUGCUCCCUGCUGCAGUGGGCCAUAUAGUGUGGGUGGGUGGGGGGGAGGGGGACAGUAAGGGGCUCCACUCAUAUCUACCCCUUUCUAACUCCAAAUCUUUGCUGAGCCUUAAUGGCAAACUGGGCCCAUGAUUUGUCCACGCAUUAGGGGGACUCUGUGAACUGAGGCAAUUGGUUUGCAAAUGAAGGAGAUAAAGGAAUUUAGAAAUCCUCUUUGAGACAAUAGCUUGGCUUACAAAACUAUUGCCCCAAUGCAUAAUCCUAUUUUGUGGGUCAAUAACUGAAUAUUGCCUCAAUCUUUCUUUCCGAGUCCCUUUUGAAACAAAGACUAAGCUCCUUCCAGGCACAUGGUUCCCUGGGAUGGACAAGGAAGGUCACCCUCCAAACAGGCAAAAGAGGAAGUACGGGGCUUCCCUGGUGGCGCAGUGGUUGAGAGUCCGCCUGCCGAUGCAGGGGACGCGGGUUCGUGCCCCGGUCCGGGAAGAUCCCACAUGCCGCGGAGCGGCUGGGCCCGUGAGCCAUGGCCGCUGAGCCUGCGCGUCCGGAGCCUGUGCUCCGCAACGAGAGAGGCCACAGCAGUGAGAGGUCCGCAUACCGGAAAAAAGAAAAAAAAAAAAAAAAAGGAAGUACGUUAAAAAUUUAAAACCUCAGCCACACCGAGUGUGUGCCACUUGUGUCCUCUGUCAAAUCACCUGCUGUCGAAGGCAGGAGCCCAGUGGCACCCUUCCGCACCCUGCGCAAUGCCCCUUGCCGAGCUGUCACUCAGUAAGUGUCCUCUGGUUGGCUACAGCUUCAUUCUUGAGCAAAACUUGGAUCACUUUAUUUUGUGAAGUGCCUUAUGCCAUUAACCCCAUUAUUAAUUCCCUCAUCAGACAGCCACUGGGUACCUGCUGUGUGGCAGGCACUGUGCUAGGCGCUGUAGGAAUACAAAGAUGGAUGGAAGCUGGGAGGCGUGCUAUUUGCUGAAACACCCACGAUUCAAGUAACCACCUCAAAUUGGAGGGGCUACUGGCUAAUGGAGUGGACGUUAAAAAUCCCCGUGGGAGCUUCCCACGCUGCCCUCCAGGUCUUUGAAGGCUGCUUGAAAUGUUCUGCAGAUCUCCCAUGCUCCAUUUUCUUCAUCCUCCCCUGUUGAUGUUGAGCAUGGAAAGACCUCUGUGUCUUAGAACAUCCUUAACGUGUCAUUGCUUGACCCGAUCUAUAAAUAUUGGUGCCCGGGGUGCCAACUCCCCGAUGCUUGGUGGGGAGGCCACCCUGGAAGUGUGGCUCAGUUGAGCACCUGAUUUAUUUCCUGGGUUACAGAUGAGUGAGAAUUCUUAAUGGAAGUAGCUUCUCUAGUGACCCAGGAAAUGUGGAGAGGGCAGAAGCUCGCUAAAUCCUUUCCUCCUUGAUUUUUUUGGCCGUAACUGGUCUGUACUUCAUGGCCUCCACUCAAAGACAGGCGCACCUGGUGAUAGAGUCUGGCUUGGAGAAGCUCACACAGAGCGAGUGUAAAUUUCAGACCCACUGUAGCUAAAAUAAGCAAACGAGACUGCAGUAAUUUUAAGACCCCGAGUGGACAAUUGCAAAGGGGACUAGAAGAGUGCUGUUUUUAAAGACAAAGGAAGGGUGAAAGUUUGCCAAAGGGCUUUGCCAGAGAUGACAAAACUGCUGAGCGAUUUGGUAUGGGAAACGUUCUCCAGCGUCGUGGAAUGGGAGGAACACCACACCUGGAGAAUCAACUUUAAACUCUAGGUCUGGAUCUGCCACUGACUAGCUGUGUGACCUUGAGAAAGUCACUGUCCAUCUCUGGGGUUUUCUUCAUGGGCAAAACAAGAAAUCCACUGGUCAGUCACAUACGAGGUAUGAGAACGGGACAGGCUUCAGAAUGGUGUAGAGAAAGUCAGAGUGAUAACUUCAUCAGGCGCCACGAACUGCUGGUCAUCGAGCACCUACCAAGCGUCAGCCUUUGCACUGGGCACAUUUCACACGUUGUCAGGUAGUGGUUGUUCUUCAUUCUUUGGGCUGCCUGAUCCCAAAUUCCUCUGGGUGAGUCUUAGUGGGAGGCAAAGCCCUACAUUUCACCUAGGAAAGCAAAUAAGGCAAGAUGCUUCCUCCUAGUAUCUAGUUGUCCUGGAAUAUUGGCCCAGGUCCCAUCAGUCAAGAUGCUCCUGUCUGGCCUCUGAAUCAUGAACAAAUAAUCAAAGACAAAGAUACCAUUUGGAUGGACUCAUGACAGAGUCCAGUGGCCCUGGCCACGGGGCCUGUAUCCUAGGCAGUCUGUUCUUACAAAAACUGGUUAUGCCUUCUGCUCUUUGUCCAUCUGCAGCUACCUUCGUUUUUCUUCUUUUUCCCCCCGCUUUCUAAGUCUUACUCUUCAGAUUCCUGUUGGCUCUGAGAGUCCUUUCUGCUUGUGGUAACCAGAGCUGGUUUCUGUUGCUUGCAGCUCAGUUUCCAGGGUGAAACUCUGUUCUUAUCCUGUAAUUCCUAUAAUGACCCUCUGGGGAACUCUAUCAAUCCAUACUUUUUGGUAUCACUGAAAAUCUUUGUCUCCGUCGUGCUCCAGUCACUGUGAUGAUUAGUUCUGAGCAGGUUUUACUGGCUUGACUCCGGACCUCUCACUUCCUACCCUGGGGCUUCUGUGAUGCCAAAGCAUGAGGCAUCCAGGGAAGCCAGUGUGUAGGAAGGCAGCCGUGGAGCUGCCCUUGACCAGUGAUGAGUAGAAGCCAGUGGAGGAAUGUUCUCUCUGUUCCUCCCCCCAGGGCAACUGUUGUACAGAUGUAUUUCAUAAGGCUGCUCAGACAGUCGCACCUGUCAGUGGCUGACAAUAAUACGGGAUUAUACAGGAUUAUAUGGGAUUCCACCCUGUUCCACUGGCUGGUCCUUUGCUCCAGUUCCAUCAUUCCUUCCAAAGUAAAUGACCUGCGGGCCAGCCUGUUUCCUGGGCUCUGCUUCUGGGGGGACUGAGGCUCAGAUGGGAACCGAGAUGUGGAGAUGUUAGGGAGCUUGUUCUCGGCUCCCCCAGAGCACAGAACCAUGGCUUGAACAUGAGACCCUCGGACUCUGAACUCUUUGCUCUUUUCCUUCCUGUAGUGGUUAGUAUUAAUGAUAGGUGGGGAGCAUAGCGGGCUGAUCUCUAUGAGUCUGUGCCCUGGGAGGGGGUGCAGAGGAGGACUCUGGUUGGCCCAGGGAAGGGGGCGGUUCUGGAGUCCUUACCGUGGUGCUAUCAGCUUCACAUUGAAGACUCUCUUCUGGAUAUGUCUUCUUGCCUAAGGAAGUUUAUCUUUUAUUUUGCUCUUGGAUUUUUUUUUUUUCCUGCUUUUCUUUGCACCUGGCCCUGCUUUGAGAGCAUACUACCACUAUAUAGACUGUGAGGCAAGAGACCCAGCAUUCUCAAGCCCAACACCAACUUGCUGUUUGAUCAUGGAGCAAGGCACCUCCUCUGACCCUCUGGGUUCCCAUUUGGCCACUUGAGUGGUCCCCAAGUGUUCAUCUAGGUAGGCUGUGCCAGUCACCUACGAGGGUGGGGGGGGUGGAGCUCACUAAAAAUGCAGAUUCCCCAGCUCCACCUCCCGGCAUUCGGAUCCGGCGUACCAGGUGCGGGCCGGACUUCUGUAUUUUUAACACGUUUCUCACAUUUUCACAGGUUUCUCUCUCUCCUUGUCUAUCUUGAUCUCUCUCUCUCUCUCUCAACAGAUUGAUCUGGGAAUGAGUAAGGAAUCCCCAAAGGCCAUUCCACUUCCAAGUAUCUCCCCUGUUAACUGUGACAGGCCUGCAUGCAGUUCCACUUUUCAGAGUAGAUAUCAUCUCCAGGAGGCCUCUGUUAAAACACCAACGAGUUAUUCCAGAGGGAGACAUGUUAUCACUUUAGCAUCCGUAACAUCACACAGAUCACGUUACCGUAUCAGAGAGCAAAUCACCUUCAGAGAUCGGGGGCUGAGUUUGUUAGCACUAAGGAGCCCAAGUAAUGAGGGUGUUUUCUGAGCCAUGCGGGGACACUGAAGGCCAGAGUCUGGGCGCUAAAAGGGAGAGGCCCGCAUGAAGAGAGGGGAAGGGGGCUGAUGAGAAGUUCCGCUUACCUCACACAGACCAAAGAUGGGCAGGGAUCCAGGAGGAUAUCAACGAGGAGGCUGAGGCUUGUACUGGGCACCUCUGGGUUCAAAUCCUGGGGCCACCACUGUGUGAUCUUCGGCAAGUUACUGUACUACUUCCCUUUCUCUGAGGACACCUCUCUCUUUCUGUCUCUGCCUCUCUCACCCUGCCACGCACCAGAGUGAGUUCCCCGUAGGCAUGGCUGUUCUACAUGCUCUGACUCCCAUAGCUGAUUGGAUCGAGUGGUCACCGUCCAAAUAGAUCCAGGGUCUCUCACCUUGCAUUUGGAAUUUGGCCUCAGAGACAAAGUCUCUAGGUGGCUGGCAGUAUUCUGUGUCCCUGGGUAUCGCUGGGCAGGCAGCUGCAAUUUCUGCAACCACUAGAGGCAGAGAGAGCUGGUUUGCCGAGAGCAUGAAGCAGAGACUGGAGAGAAGCAGAAGAAUGAGGGGGCGGGGGAAUCCUGGGGGUUGUCAGACCAUAGCCCAGUGCUUUCCUGAAGCAGCAUCCGUCUGUGGGGUCUGGGAGGCUCUCUGUAAAUUUAUGAAAAACAAACAAGCGAAUAACUCACCUUUUUUGCUUAGACUAGUCUAAUUUCUGUUGCUUUCCAUUCAGCAGUCCCACCAGGCCCUCCCUUACACUCAGGACACAGUGCAAGGGGGCACAGCAGCAGACAGGCCCCGCUGAGUGGACUGCGUAUGCAUGCUUCACUUACCAGCGAUGUGCCCUGUGGUCCUGGUUGAAACUUUGCAGCAGAUGUUCCCCACCUAGCGACUCGUCCCAAAGCAACUUUUUCAAAGCAUUUCUUACAGAGCUUUACCUUGAAAAAUGAUAAUGGCUCUUCCCCCCUCUUCAUCCAUUUGCCAACUUGCCUAGGAAAUUUUACAGGGUCCAAACUACACAAAUCAGCGCUUCUCAAACUCUCCCUCAGAUGAAUGUUAAAACGCAGAUCCCGAUGCAGCAGGUGUUGGGCCUCCCGCAUGACGUGGCUUUGGACUAGCAUGUAUUUAGACUCCCUAUGCGGGGAAUUACAAGUGAGUGGCCAGUGAGAACCCCUGAAUCAGCGAGCAGGGUUGAAACCAAGUAACUACUCCAAGUAGGGUCAAAGAACUCACUAGUUUUAAUUAAUGAAAAGAAAAGUCUAAAUAGAGCAUUCUUGCUAAGAAAUACCGUCUUAUUUCUUCCAACAGUACAUCGGGGAAUAUUUGGCCUCUCUUGAAAAGAAGGAACAGAUAAGCGCACGUUGUAAUUAGCAUAUCAAUGACUAAUAAUUAAAAAGAGGUUUCUAAAGAGCUGGAGGAGAUUUGAACGGUUUUUUCUCUCCCUCUCAAAUCCACCUUCCUUCGACUUGCUUAUGUUUAUCCUGUGUGUAGAGCCUCUUGUACCAAACAGAGCGAUACUAAACUUCCAUGUAUCCCUAACGCAACGUUCGCAGAUUCCUCAGUAAUGCAGCCCCACUGGCGGUGCCAACCUCCUUACCGAAGACAUUGCUUUUGUUUUAUUUUUCUCUUUCAAGAAACUGACAUCUUAGCGCCUCAUAUCCAUCUUAGUUUAAACAAAUGUUUUGAUUACAUCCAAGCGAGAGCCCAACAAAAGCUGUUGGGACUGAACUGAAGCAUUUGUUAUUAGUUUUAGACAAUUUGUUCUAAUAUUGUCUGGAAUCAUUCGUUUAUACACCCAUACAGAUUUGAUUACUUUAUUUGUUUCAUUAAUCUUUAUUUGUUUAAUCAUCUGUUUCAUCUGUUUAAUCAUUGGUUUAAGUGGAAAGAUUACAUGAAGAUGUUUAGCGUUGGCUCAUACAGGCAUUCUGACAUGGGGCUCAGCAUUCCUUUUCGACUAUUGCAUUCUUUUAUGGGACUUCAUGAGCUACUUGAAAGCCUGUAGGAUGCUUCAGGGAAUUCAAUAAUUUAGUAGUUCUUCACCACUGAACAUGAUAUAUUUUUUAAAAUGUUAUUUAAGUAGGCAAUAUUUGUGGAAUAAUUUGACUUCCAUUCUGGGUUUGUGGCUCCUCCUCUCCUAACCAAAUGCAAUAUUUAAGGUGGAACCGAGGCCAUUCUUGAAGAGAUUGGGAAGGUCUGGGAGACUGGGCAUGCUCUCAAAGUUGAGGGAGCAGUUUCUUCUCUUUAGGCUUGUUUGCUCUGAGAAUCCAAGUUGGUUCUUGUUUGAAAGUGUAAAGCAGUGCCCGAGGUCUGAUAUCAUACUGUAACUAUCAGGGAUGCUGUGUCCCCCCCAUCCGCCUCCAUGCUGGAGGUGUCUAUCAGAUGUGGAGGCUCUAACUCCGACUGGGACACCCCUUGGGAGCUGUUUAAACAUGAAUAGCUUCCUUUCAUCUGAUCCAUUUAAUAAAACGGUCACCACUCUCUGUGGUGGCAGUUUUUUAUGUUAUUCUCCAAUUUGGCUUGAGGAUGGGAGUUGUGUGUGCUGGAUAGACCUUGUGCAUCAUGGUCAGUACAAUAGGUGUUACUUCAACAAGAGUCAAUCAAUGAACAUCUCGGGUAAGUGCGUAAACUCUAGUGGGGGAUGACGCCACUGCAGACAGUGUUGUAGGCACAGCUCAUCUACUUCUGAGAAUGGAGACCCUUGCUUUCAAUGGAGAGGUCUGCCCACCUCCAGACCUUGUCCUUGGCAGCCCUCUACCCCAUCUUCCCCAAAUCCUGCCAUCUUCCAAGGCUCAGGUUAUGUUUCACCUCCUUUCUUGGACCCCAAAGCCACACAUAGAGCAGGUGAGAGCAGAAUUGAGAUUGGAAUUCACUUUUCUGAAAUUCUGUUGGAAAAGAACCCGUUACCCCAACCCAAAAUGUUCUGAACUUUUGGUCCCUUACGACAAGAAGCUGAAAAGAGAAUAAAAAUGAUACUGCUCUGUGCUGCUGUUGCCAUCCUAAUUAAGUACCAUCCUUUCAUGCUUUCCAAGUACAUUGAUUUUAAUGCCCCUCAAACCUUGCUGGCGUGUAGCUGGGUUGUUAACCUGGCCAUUUGUACCCUUGGAUGGAUUGAACCUCAUGGGAUCUCCGACGCCUCAUCCAGGGCUUCCUCGGACGCGAUUCUUGGGAGAGCAUGGCACCCAACAUACCUGAACACGUCUGGGUUCACGCCGCCUCUUUCAUGGGGUACGUGACCUUGGGCAACUCCUUUAACAUUCUGAGCCCUGUUUCUGGUCAUGACAAUGAGGAUGAUAAUGGUCUUUACCCCACAGGUUGUGGUGAGCACAAAAUGACAAAACAAGCGUCAGUGCCUGUCCAGCCUGGUGCCUGGUGAGAGUGAGCCCCAGGGUCUGCUGUUGUGGGGGAACCCCCGCAGGGGUCUCUUCUGUGGAUCCGUGUGCAGAGGUCUUCAGAAGGGAGAGUGGGCUGCCAGAGGGGACGGAUUCCGAGAGGAGGAGGCACUCGUCCCCUGUGUGUCUUUCUGUCUGUUCCAACGUCACCUGGAGGGUUUGAGUUGUGCUGUUUGUUUUCUGUGGCUGAAACAGUGCCAGCCCCCAACACAAGUGCCUUGUUCCUUCUCUGAGGGAUACCUCGCUCUGGAUUCCCUCUGUCGAGCUUACAGCCUGAGGCUUCUCUUUGAUUGGCCCUAAGCAUCCUAGACCCUGGGAGCCCCCUACCCACACGUCCGAAGGAAUCACUUCUUUAAAUAAAAUCCUGGAUGGUAUUUGAAAGAGACGUUUUCAUUAAGAGGCUCCCUCCUGGGCCUCCAGAUUUCAGUGUCCGUAAACUGCCAUUGCCUGAAACGACUUACUCACUCUUGCCUCUAUCUGGGAACUUCCUUGAUGCUCCUCCCUUUCAUCCUCUUUCUUUGCAUUCCCCGAAGAGCUGCCCAAGCAGGUUUGGAAGAGUCUGGGAGAAGCUGGCCGCCAGCCUAGCUCAAGACACCAUUCCCAAUUGGGCAUCCUCAGUCUAUUGUUGGGCUGUGGGCAUCAUGCAGUGGCAUGCUUAGUAGAGCUGCCUGGUUAACUCAUAGCUUUUUGACUGAGGACAGGGCCUCCACACUCUGAAGGGUUUACCUUCUUCCAUCAGGCUUUGGGCUCCGUGCUCAGGGAGAAAUGUGGGAAGUGGGACAACUGUUCAGUCAACCAGUGCAGCUAACUUAAUCCUGGUGCUCAGUGGUGUGAGCUGCUGUGGUCAGACACACUUGUGUCCACGGGAAUAUGGGAGAAUGGAGUUCGCCCUGUGCAAAGAGCCCACCUCCCACCCCUACCACCCUACCCACGUGAGUCCCAAUAACUAGGGGACUCAUUCCCCUAGUUAAGGAUGUGUCUUGGUUAACAACCUUUCUUCUAGAUCCCGGAUUUGAUAGCAGGCUUUGGAGAAGAGGAAUGGAAGGUUCUGAUGGUUCCUGGUAUUUAAGGAAAGGAGGAACAGGUUGACACCCAGUCAACAUCCCAAGGACCAUGGGAACAGGGAGAAGGUCUUCAGCAAUGAGAGGAACUCAAGGAAGAGGGAAGAAGCCAAGAUGAACUUGGAAGUUCUGUCCCACUUGUUCCAGGUCAUCUUGGUGCUACCCUUGGCAUCCUGGCCAUACUUUGCAGAUGCCUGUGGUAGAGUGGCCUGGCCGUGAGGCCAGACCUCCAGCUUUGCUCUCCACAGCCACAAGGAGGGACUUUGACUUCACCUUUGCAUCCCAGUCCUUCUACUUGCUCUUUCACCUGAGGCCACAUUUCUCAUAGGGUGGGCACAUCAUAAAGGUGAGAUAGAUUGAGACUUGAUAUAGGUCAUAGAAGAAGGUGUUCAGGCAACUUUCUAUGAAUAUUUAUUGAACACCCACCGUGUGCCAGACACUACGCCAGGUCCUGUGAGUCCAGCAGUGGACCUGCUGGACCCAACUUCCUAGGGCUAUCGGAAAGAUUAAAUGAGAGAAUGUGCAUCAAAAAAUACUGCUGAUGCUGUAAUAUUGAACCAGAGUGUAGAGGGUUUGGCUGCCAGGCUAAGGACUAUAUACUUUCAAAAACAAUGAUGAGUCAUCAGGUGGUUUGGGACAAAAGAGUGGGAUGAACUGAUUUUGUUAUGAAAUUUUCCAUUAUAAAAAUACUCACGUUUGUAAAAUGAUGAUGUGUAUUAGAGUAUUGCUUCCAAAUACCCCAGAAAACACUGUGUUUUAUAAAUCUUGUUAAUAUUUGUAAAUCUAGUGGGUGAGAAAUGAUGGCUUUAUUUUAUGUGUUUUUAAUUAUAAGUAAGGUUGAGCAUCUUUUCACAUAUUUAUUUGUACUUCAUUGACUUAUUUUCAUUUGCUGGUUCACAUCUGCUUCCCAAUGAUCUAAGAGGUUGAUUUU